Molecule: long non-coding RNA, 257 nt
Filed under: Elaeis guineensis (African oil palm)
Lineage: Eukaryota; Viridiplantae; Streptophyta; Magnoliopsida; Arecales; Arecaceae
Description: long non-coding RNA (EGUI_LNC021650)
Source: RNAcentral
AUGGUCUUCUAAGCCUUUCACAUGAUGACAUCCAUCACUUAGUCAGAGAGGGUAGUUGGGGGUGCUCAAGCUUAGCUCUCUAUAAAUAGGGCUUCACCUUAAGGCCUAAACCACUUCGAUUGUCUUCCAUGAUGUCACCUUGCUCGGUGUUACAAGAUCGUGAUGGCAUGCUUCUGACCAGGGAAGCAUUCCCACAUUUCUGAUCAGCCACAGUGCGCCUCAAUGGAGCAUGUCGGUGGGCAAUCUUUUUGGCAUGG